Molecule: ribosomal RNA, 857 nt
Filed under: uncultured Bacillota bacterium
Lineage: Bacteria; Bacillati; Bacillota
Description: bacterial SSU rRNA
Rfam family: Bacterial small subunit ribosomal RNA
Source: RNAcentral
GAACGCUGGCGGCGCGCCUAACACAUGCAAGUCGAACGAGCGAGAGAGAGCUUGCUUUCUCGAGCGAGUGGCGAACGGGUGAGUAACGCGUGAGGAACCUGCCUCAAAGAGGGGGACAACAGUUGGAAACGACUGCUAAUACCGCAUAAGCCCACGACCCGGCAUCGGGUAGAGGGAAAAGGAGCAAUCCGCUUUGAGAUGGCCUCGCGUCCGAUUAGCUAGUUGGUGAGGUAACGGCCCACCAAGGCGACGAUCGGUAGCCGGACUGAGAGGUUGAACGGCCACAUUGGGACUGAGACACGGCCCAGACUCCUACGGGAGGCAGCAGUGGGGAAUAUUGCACAAUGGGGGAAACCCUGAUGCAGCGACGCCGCGUGGAGGAAGAAGGUCUUCGGAUUGUAAACUCCUGUUGUUGAGGAAGAUAAUGACGGUACUCAACAAGGAAGUGACGGCUAACUACGUGCCAGCAGCCGCGGUAAAACGUAGGUCACAAGCGUUGUCCGGAAUUACUGGGUGUAAAGGGAGCGCAGGCGGGAAGACAAGUUGGAAGUGAAAUCCAUGGGCUCAACCCAUGAACUGCUUUCAAAACUGUUUUUCUUGAGUAGUGCAGAGGUAGGCGGAAUUCCCGGUGUAGCGGUGGAAUGCGUAGAUAUCGGGAGGAACACCAGUGGCGAAGGCGGCCUACUGGGCACCAACUGACGCUGAGGCUCGAAAGUGUGGGUAGCGAACAGGAUUAGAUACCCUGGUAGUCCACACUGUAAACGAUGAUUACUAGGUGUUGGAGGAUUGACCCCUUCAGUGCCGCAGUUAACACAAUAAGUAAUCCACCUGGGGAGUACGACCGCAAGGUUUGCACU